This 73-nucleotide transfer RNA is filed under the name Trichonephila clavata. It matches the Rfam family "tRNA". Rfam says of the family: Transfer RNA (tRNA) molecules are approximately 80 nucleotides in length. Their secondary structure includes four short double-helical elements and three loops (D, anti-codon, and T loops). Further hydrogen bonds mediate the characteristic L-shaped molecular structure. tRNAs have two regions of fundamental functional importance: the anti-codon, which is responsible for specific mRNA codon recognition, and the 3' end, to which the tRNAs corresponding amino acid is attached (by aminoacyl-tRNA synthetases). tRNAs cope with the degeneracy of the genetic code in two manners: having more than one tRNA (with a specific anti-codon) for a particular amino acid; and 'wobble' base-pairing, i.e. permitting non-standard base-pairing at the 3rd anti-codon position. Lineage: Eukaryota; Metazoa; Arthropoda; Arachnida; Araneae; Nephilidae. The record is from Rfam by way of RNAcentral.
GUUCCUGUAGCGCAAUGGAUAGCGCGGUGGACUUGCAAUCCAAAGGUCAUGGGUUCCAAUCCCACCUGGGAUA